AAAACACUAAUCACCUAUGAUCCCCUAACCUACAAUCCUGAUUCUAGACCUCCAGACUCCCCUAUCAAGUGUCAUAUCCUCGGUAACCUGCAUCCUGGCCAUGUCCUGCCUAAUCACCUCUCCCCAAUGCUUCUUAGGCCUCCCUCUCCCUCGCCGACCACCAACAAUCACCAACCGCUCGCAGCUCCUCACCGGGGCAUCGGGGCCCCUCCUCCGAACAUGCCCGAACCACCUCAGCCUCGCUUCNNNNNN
RNAcentral lists this long non-coding RNA (252 nucleotides) under Nicotiana benthamiana. RNAcentral's name for it is "long non-coding RNA (NBEN_LNC012560)". The record is from RNAcentral. Lineage: Eukaryota; Viridiplantae; Streptophyta; Magnoliopsida; Solanales; Solanaceae.